UGGGGAAUAUUGCACAAUGGACGGAAGUCUGAUGCAGCAACGCCGCGUGCGGGAUGAGGGCCUUCGGGUUGUAAACCGCUUUUUCUCAUGACGAAGUUUUUUGACGGUAGUGGGGGAAGAAGCACCGGCUAACUACGUGCCAGCAGCCGCGGUGAUACGGAGGGUGCGAGCGUUGUCCGGAAUUAUUGGGCGUAAAGAGCUUGUAGGCGGUUUGUCGCGUCGAUAGUGCAAACUCAGUGCUUAACGCUGAGCCUGCUGUUGAUACGGGCAGACUAGAGGAAGGUAGGGGAGAAUGGAACUCCCGGUGGAGCGGUGGAAUGCGCAGAUAUCGGGAGGAACACCGGUGGCGAAGGCGGUUCUCUGGGCCUUUCCUGACGCUGAGAAGCGAAAGCGUGGGGAGCGAACAGG
Molecule: ribosomal RNA, 408 nt
Filed under: Fusobacteriota bacterium
Lineage: Bacteria; Fusobacteriati; Fusobacteriota
Description: Fusobacteria bacterium partial 16S ribosomal RNA
Rfam family: Bacterial small subunit ribosomal RNA
Source: RNAcentral